CGGAAUGUAGUUCAGGUGGGAGAACACACGCUUAAUAAGUGUGAGGUCGCAGGUUCGAUUCCUGCCUUUCCGA
This 73-nucleotide transfer RNA is filed under the name Caudoviricetes sp. RNAcentral describes it as "tRNA-Ile". It matches the Rfam family "tRNA". Rfam says of the family: Transfer RNA (tRNA) molecules are approximately 80 nucleotides in length. Their secondary structure includes four short double-helical elements and three loops (D, anti-codon, and T loops). Further hydrogen bonds mediate the characteristic L-shaped molecular structure. tRNAs have two regions of fundamental functional importance: the anti-codon, which is responsible for specific mRNA codon recognition, and the 3' end, to which the tRNAs corresponding amino acid is attached (by aminoacyl-tRNA synthetases). tRNAs cope with the degeneracy of the genetic code in two manners: having more than one tRNA (with a specific anti-codon) for a particular amino acid; and 'wobble' base-pairing, i.e. permitting non-standard base-pairing at the 3rd anti-codon position. Lineage: Duplodnaviria; Heunggongvirae; Uroviricota; Caudoviricetes. The record is from RNAcentral.